RNAcentral lists this ribosomal RNA (253 nucleotides) under uncultured bacterium. RNAcentral's name for it is "partial 16S ribosomal RNA". It matches the Rfam family "Bacterial small subunit ribosomal RNA", at positions 524 to 776 of the family's 1533-position model. The record is from RNAcentral.
UACGGGGGGGGCAAGCGUUGUUCGGAAUUACUGGGCGUAAAGGGCUCGUAGGUGGCCAACUAAGUCAGACGUGAAAUCCCUCGGCUUAACCGGGGAACUGCGUCUGAUACUGGAUGGCUUGAGUUCGGGAGAGGGAUGCGGAAUUCCAGGUGUAGCGGUGAAAUGCGUAGAUAUCUGGAGGAACACCGGUGGCGAAAGCGACGCACUGGACCUCUUCUGACGCUGAGGCGCGAAAGCUAGGGGAGCAAACGGG